GAUGAACGCUAGCGGCAGGCUUAACACAUGCAAGUCGAGGGGCAGCGUAAAUAGUAGCAAUACUAUUGGUGGCGACCGGCGGACGGGUGCGUAACGCGUAUACAACCUUCCCUAAACAGGGGGAUAAUCUGGAGAAAUUCGGUCUAAUGCCCCAUAACAUCAGAGCAGGCAUCUGUUUUGGUUAAAUUUCCGGAGGGUUAGGAUGGGUAUGCGUAGCAUUAGCUAGUUGGUGAGGUAACGGCUCACCAAGGCGACGAUGCUUAGGGGGACUGAGAGGUUAACCCCCCACACUGGUACUGAGACACGGACCAGACUCCUACGGGAGGCAGCAGUGAGGAAUAUUGGUCAAUGGGCGGAAGCCUGAACCAGCCAUGCCGCGUGCAGGAUGACGGCUCUAUGAGCUGUAAACUGCUUUUGUACGAGGGUAAAGUGGGCUACGUGUAGCCUUUUGAAAGUAUCGUACGAAUAAGGAUCGGCUAACUCCGUGCCAGCCGCCGCAGUAA
RNAcentral lists this ribosomal RNA (503 nucleotides) under uncultured bacterium. RNAcentral's name for it is "partial 16S ribosomal RNA". It matches the Rfam family "Bacterial small subunit ribosomal RNA", at positions 28 to 523 of the family's 1533-position model. The record is from RNAcentral.